RNAcentral lists this ribosomal RNA (254 nucleotides) under uncultured bacterium. RNAcentral describes it as "partial 16S ribosomal RNA". It matches the Rfam family "Bacterial small subunit ribosomal RNA", at positions 524 to 776 of the family's 1533-position model. The record is from RNAcentral.
UACGUAGGGACCGAGCGUUGUCCGGAAUCAUUGGGCGUAAAGAGCGUGUAGGCGGCCACUUAAGUCCUGCGUGAAAUCUUGCGGCUCAACCGCAAGCGGUCGUGGGAAACUGGGUGGCUAGAGUGCGGGAGAGGAGAGUGGAAUUCCUGGUGUAGCGGUGGAAUGCGCAGAUAUCAGGAAGAACACCCGUGGCGAAGGCGGCUCUCUGGACCACAACUGACGCUGAUGCGCGAAAAGCUAGGGGAGCAAACAGG